UACGUAGGGGGCAAGCGUUGUCCGGAAUUAUUGGGCGUAAAGCGCGCGCAGGCGGUUUUGUAAGUCUGGUGUUUAAGCUCGGGGCUCAACCCCGAUACGCAUCGGAAACUGCAAGACUUGAGUGCAGAAGAGGAAAGUGGAAUUCCACGUGUAGCGGUGAAAUGCGUAGAGAUGUGGAGGAACACCAGUGGCGAAGGCGACUUUCUGGGCUGUAACUGACGCUGAGGCGCGAAAGCGUGGGGAGCAAACAGG
RNAcentral lists this ribosomal RNA (252 nucleotides) under uncultured bacterium. Its description in RNAcentral is "partial 16S ribosomal RNA". It matches the Rfam family "Bacterial small subunit ribosomal RNA", at positions 524 to 776 of the family's 1533-position model. The record is from RNAcentral.